AUGGGAGCUUGCUCCCGGAAGAUCUAGUGGCGAACGGGGUGAGUAACACGUGAGAAACCUGCCCUGGAGUGGGGAAUAACUCGGGGAAACUCGAGCUAAUACCGCAUACCCUCGGAUGGUCGCAUGGCCGACCGAGGAAAGAUUUAUCGCUCUAGGAGGGUCUCGCGGCCUAUCAGCUAGUUGGUGGGGUAACGGCCUACCAAAGGCAACGACGGGUAGCUGGUUUGAGAGAACGAUCAGCCACACUGGGACUGAGACACGGCCCAGACUCCUACGGGAGGCAGCAGUGGGGAAUCUUGCGCAAUGGGCGAAAGCCUGACGCAGCAACGCCGCGCGCGGGAUGACGGCCUUCGUGGUUGUAAACCGCUUUCAGCAGGGACGAAAAUGACGGUACCUGCAGAAGAAGCCCCGGCUAACUACGUG
This 423-nucleotide ribosomal RNA is filed under the name uncultured bacterium. RNAcentral's name for it is "bacterial SSU rRNA". It matches the Rfam family "Bacterial small subunit ribosomal RNA", at positions 72 to 507 of the family's 1533-position model. The record is from RNAcentral.